This 357-nucleotide ribosomal RNA is filed under the name uncultured Glomeromycotina. Its description in RNAcentral is "LSU rRNA". The record is from RNAcentral. Lineage: Eukaryota; Fungi; Glomeromycota.
UUGAAAGGGAAACGAUUGAAGUAGUCGGACCAGAGAAUCAGUUUUCCAGGGGGAAUUUGUUGAGGCGUGAGAUUUAAAGGGGUCGUGUUUGAGCUUUGUUUUUUGGGGGACUUUUUCGUUGGGGGCCAACGGCGGUUUCGGCACCAUAGAGGUUGGGGGAUGUAGGUUCUAUCUCUAUUGAAGGGUUAUAGCCUUUGGUAGAUGUGGUGAUCGAAACUGAGGAUUGCAACGAAUACCCUUUGGGCUAUCCGGCUGACCUCUGAAAGGUGGUUGGGUGCCGAAAGCUUGCUUAUGGUAUUUAAGACGACGGGCAAAAGGGUUAGGAACGUGAUUACCUUCGUUAAGGAUGUUGACGUA